GACGAACGCUGGCGGCGUGCCUAAUACAUGCAAGUCGAACGCAUUUUCUUUCACCGUAGCUUGCUACACCGAAAGAAAAUGAGUGGCGAACGGGUGAGUAACACGUGGGUAACCUGCCCAUCAGCGGGGGAUAACACUUGGAAACAGGUGCUAAUACCGCAUAAUUCCAUUUACCGCAUGGUAGAUGGAUGAAAGGCGCUUUUGCGUCACUGAUGGAUGGACCCGCGGUGCAUUAGCUAGUUGGUGGGGUAACGGCCUACCAAGGCUGCGAUGCAUAGCCGACCUGGGAGGGUGAUCGGCCACACUGGGACUGAGACACGGCCCAGACUCCUACGGGAAGCAGCAGUAGGGAAUCUUCGGCAAUGGACGCAAGUCUGACCGAGCAACGCCGCGUGAGUGAAGAAGGUUUUCGGAUCGUAAAACUCUGUUGUUAGAGAAGAACAAGGAUGAGAGUGGAAAGUUCAUCCCUUGACGGUAUCUAACCAGAAAGCCACGGCUAACUACGUG
This 507-nucleotide ribosomal RNA is filed under the name uncultured bacterium. RNAcentral's name for it is "partial 16S ribosomal RNA". It matches the Rfam family "Bacterial small subunit ribosomal RNA", at positions 28 to 507 of the family's 1533-position model. The record is from RNAcentral.